CCUACGGGUGGCAGCAGUAGGGAAUCUUUCACAAUGGGCGAAAGCCUGAUGGAGCAACGCCGCGUGCAGGAUGAAGGCCUUCGGGUUGUAAACUGCUUUUAUAAGCGAGAAAUAUGAUGGUAACUUAUGAAUAAGGAUCGGCUAACUACGUGCCAGCAGCCGCGGUCAUACGUAGGAGCCGAGCAUUAUCCGGAGUGACUGGGUGUAAAGAGUUGCGUAGGUGGCAUAAUAAGUAGCUAGUGAAAUCGGGUGGCUCAACCAUUCAGACUAUUGGCUAAACUGUUAAGCUCGAGACCGUUAGAGGUAACUGGAAUGUCUAGUGUAGGGGUGAAAUCCGUAGAUAUUAGAAAGAACACCGAUAGCGUAGGCAGGUUACUGGGACGGUUCUGACGCUAAGGCACGAAAGCGUAGGGAGCAAACGGGAUUAGAUACCCUUGUAGUC
This 442-nucleotide ribosomal RNA is filed under the name uncultured bacterium. Its description in RNAcentral is "partial 16S ribosomal RNA". It matches the Rfam family "Bacterial small subunit ribosomal RNA", at positions 338 to 795 of the family's 1533-position model. The record is from RNAcentral.